RNAcentral lists this ribosomal RNA (393 nucleotides) under uncultured bacterium. Its description in RNAcentral is "bacterial SSU rRNA". It matches the Rfam family "Bacterial small subunit ribosomal RNA", at positions 28 to 387 of the family's 1533-position model. The record is from RNAcentral.
GACGAACGCUGGCGGCAUGCCUAACACAUGCAAGUCGAACGGAGUUCUCUUAUUGGAUCCCUUCGGGGUGAAGAUACUAGAACUUAGUGGCGGACGGGUGAGUAACGCGUGGGUAACCUGCCCUUUUGUGGGGAACAAACUUCGAGAAAUUGAAGCUAAUACCGCAUACUCUUCUUUUAUCGCAUGAUGAGAGAAGGAAAGAUGGCCUCUGAAAAUGCUAUCGCAAAAGGAUGGACCCGCGUCUGAUUAGCUAGUUGGAAGGGUAACGGCCUACCAAGGCGACGAUCAGUAGCCGGCCUGAGAGGGUGAACGGCCACGAUUGGGACUGAGACACGGCCCAAACUCCUACGGGAGGCAGCAUGGGGAAUCUUCCGCAAUGGGCGAAAGCCUGAC